Molecule: long non-coding RNA, 427 nt
Organism: Alosa sapidissima (American shad)
Lineage: Eukaryota; Metazoa; Chordata; Actinopteri; Clupeiformes; Clupeidae
Exons: 2
Source: RefSeq, a predicted model, not a curated record
GGAGGACGCCUGGGGUCUUAACCGAUGUGGUCCCUAUAGCAGGGCUCUGGGCCACUCCUAGCAUUGUGCCACAAGCUAAGUACCUUCAUAUCAGAGCUAACUAAUAAUUCCUUAUCUAUUGGGUGGCAAUUCCACCCUUACAUGCAUGUAGCUGAUAUCUCUCUCUCCCUCCUCGACAGGAAUAGCUGGCCUAUACUGGUGGUUCGCAGUCUCCGGGUGGUGGUCUUCCUCACUAGCCUCCCUACUUCCACAUGGUGUGUCUGAUGUUGCAGUGUCGUCACCUGGUUGCAGUGGCCACAUCCUCGCCAUACCCCCGGCCUCCCUUCCACUUUAACGGGAGAGCUUGUCAUUGCUGUGGCUGCUGUGUUUUAUUGAAUUAAUUAUGCAUUUGUCCGUUUGCUACUAAAUAAACAUAUGUAUUGCAUCA